CCAAAUCUGGCUCUUUUGAUGGUUGCAUAUGGCUCGCAGAGCCCUCAUAACAUAAUGUACAUGGCAUUUCUGUCGAGUAGGCAACGCACAUGUGGCAGUGACAGUUUGUCCUAGUGAGGUAGCCGUAGUUUGCUGUCCAAUAUGGCAGUUGUGUGCGCAGGUGCAAAAGGUUUCAGCAAGAAUGGACAGGAAUUCGCCCUGGUGGAGAGAGAAGGUUCUGGUGUGUGUCUAAAUUAUAAUGACAAAGUUGCAAUGAUGAAACACUCAAAUAUAAAGCACCACUUUUACACGUGCCAUACUAGUUUGCAUAAAAAUAUCCUGCGGGGGCAACAGGAAGAAAGCAUGUCAAGAGCUACUGAUGGCAAAUCAAAUUGAGUUACGUUCACGAUUAACGGAUAGAAGUUUCAUCUAACGACGUCCUGUAUGACAAGUCGCAUUCAUGGCAGCACGUUGGAGCAGCUGGUUACAGCGUUGGUCUCACAGUUCUGAGGACCGGGGUUCAAAUCCCAGCCCUCCCCGUGUGGAGUUUGGAUGUUCUCCCCAUGCCUGCAUGGGUUUCCUUUGGGCACUCUGAUUGGCUGCUAAAAAGUUUAGGGUGUAUGCUGUCUCCUGUGGUAGCUGGGAUAGGCUUCAGCGCUCCUGUGACCCUUGUGAGGGGUGGCGCCCGCCUCUCAAAGGCUUCAGCUCACCUGUGACCUUGAGGACGACAAGUACUACACACAUUCAUAUGCUCAUCUCAGACGAGUGAAUAAAAAUAUGUAAUAUUG
Molecule: long non-coding RNA, 767 nt
Organism: Syngnathoides biaculeatus (alligator pipefish)
Lineage: Eukaryota; Metazoa; Chordata; Actinopteri; Syngnathiformes; Syngnathidae
Exons: 4
Source: RefSeq, a predicted model, not a curated record